RNAcentral lists this ribosomal RNA (253 nucleotides) under uncultured bacterium. Its description in RNAcentral is "partial 16S ribosomal RNA". It matches the Rfam family "Bacterial small subunit ribosomal RNA", at positions 524 to 776 of the family's 1533-position model. The record is from RNAcentral.
UACGAGAGGCCCAAACGUUAUUCGGAAUUACUGGGCUUAAAGAGUUCGUAGGCGGCGCAGAAAGUAGGGUGUGAAAGCCCUCGGCUCAACCGAGGAAUUGCGCUCUAAACUACUGUGCUCGAGGAAUCUAGAGGUGAGCGGAACUGAUGGUGGAGCGGUGAAAUGCGUUGAUAUCAUCAGGAACACCGGAGGCGAAGGCGGCUCACUGGGGAUUUUCUGACGCUGAGGAACGAAAGCCAGGGGAGCGAACAGG